This 254-nucleotide ribosomal RNA is filed under the name uncultured bacterium. RNAcentral's name for it is "partial 16S ribosomal RNA". It matches the Rfam family "Bacterial small subunit ribosomal RNA", at positions 524 to 776 of the family's 1533-position model. The record is from RNAcentral.
UACGUAGGGGGCGAGCGUUGUCCGGAUUCAUUGGGCGUAAAGAGCUCGUAGGCGGCUUGUCAAGUCGGGUGUGAAACCUCCAGGCUCAACCUGGAGACGCCACUCGAGACUGUCAUGGCUAGAGUCCGGUAGGGGAUCACGGAAUUCCUGGUGUAGCGGUGAAAUGCGCAGAUAUCAGGAGGAACACCGGUGGCGAAGGCGGAUCUCUGGGCCUUACCUGACGCUCAGGUGCGAAAGCUAGGGGAGCGAACAGG